This 253-nucleotide ribosomal RNA is filed under the name uncultured bacterium. Its description in RNAcentral is "partial 16S ribosomal RNA". It matches the Rfam family "Bacterial small subunit ribosomal RNA", at positions 524 to 776 of the family's 1533-position model. The record is from RNAcentral.
UACGUAGGGUGCAAGCGUUAAUCGGAAUUACUGGGCGUAAAGCGUGCGCAGGCGGUUGUGCAAGACCGAUGUGAAAUCCCCGGGCUUAACCUGGGAAUGGCAUUGGUGACUGCACGGCUAGAGUGUGUCAGAGGGGGGUAGAAUUCCACGUGUAGCAGUGAAAUGCGUAGAGAUGUAGAGGAAUACCGAUGGCGAAGGCAGCCCCCUGGGAUAACACUGACGCUCAUGCACGAAAGCGUGGGGAGCAAACAGG